RNAcentral lists this unclassified non-coding RNA (155 nucleotides) under Human immunodeficiency virus 1. RNAcentral's name for it is "RNA_(155-MER) from Human immunodeficiency virus 1 (PDB 2N1Q, chain A)". The stretch from base 55 to 89 matches the Rfam family "Human immunodeficiency virus type 1 dimerisation initiation site". Lineage: Riboviria; Pararnavirae; Artverviricota; Revtraviricetes; Ortervirales; Retroviridae. The record is from RNAcentral.
GGUGCCCGUCUGUUGUGUGACUCUGGUGAGAGCCAGAGGAGAUCUCUCGACGCAGGACUCGGCUUGCUGGAGACGGCAAGAGGCGAGGGGCGGCGACUGGUGAGUACGCCAAAAAUUUUGACUAGCGGAGGCUAGAAGGAGAGAGAUGGGUGCCC